UACGAAGGGGGCUAGCGUUGUUCGGAAUUACUGGCGUAAAGGGCGCGUAGGCGGUGUGUCAAGUCAGGCGUGAAAGCCCCGGGCUCAACCUGGGAACAGCGCUUGAGACUGGCACGCUCGAGUUCGGGAGAGGAUGGUGGAAUUCCCAGUGUAGAGGUGAAAUUCGUAGAUAUUGGGAAGAACACCGAUGGCGAAGGCGGCAUCCUGGACCAAUACUGACACUGAGGAGCGAAAGCCAGGGGAGCGAAACGGG
Molecule: ribosomal RNA, 253 nt
Filed under: uncultured bacterium
Lineage: Bacteria
Description: partial 16S ribosomal RNA
Rfam family: Bacterial small subunit ribosomal RNA
Source: RNAcentral